GCUGGGCAUGGUGGUGCAUGCCUGUAAUCCCAGUGGUUUGGGAGGCUGAGGCAGGAGGAUCACAAGUUCAAAGCCAGCCUCAGCAAAAGCGAGGUGUUAAGCAAUUCAGUGAGACCCUGUCUCUA
This 125-nucleotide small RNA is filed under the name Marmota monax (woodchuck). The record is from RNAcentral. Lineage: Eukaryota; Metazoa; Chordata; Mammalia; Rodentia; Sciuridae.